Molecule: ribosomal RNA, 289 nt
Filed under: uncultured Burkholderiales bacterium
Lineage: Bacteria; Pseudomonadati; Pseudomonadota; Betaproteobacteria; Burkholderiales
Description: partial 16S ribosomal RNA
Source: RNAcentral
CUACACGGGUAUCUAAUCCUGUUUGCUCCCCACGCUUUCGUGCAUGAGCGUCAGUACAGGUCCAGGGGAUUGCCUUCGCCAUUGGUGUUCCUCCGCAUAUCUACGCAUUUCACUGCUACACGCGGAAUUCCAUCCCCCUCUACCGUACUCUAGCCUUGCAGUCACAAAUGCAGUUCCCAGGUUGAGCCCGGGGAUUUCACAUCUGUCUUGCAAAGCCGCCUGCGCACGCUUUACGCCCAGUAAUUCCGAUUAACGCUCGCACCCUACGUAUUACCGCGGCUGCUGGCAC